RNAcentral lists this transfer RNA (76 nucleotides) under Pseudomonadota bacterium. RNAcentral describes it as "tRNA-Arg". It matches the Rfam family "tRNA". Rfam says of the family: Transfer RNA (tRNA) molecules are approximately 80 nucleotides in length. Their secondary structure includes four short double-helical elements and three loops (D, anti-codon, and T loops). Lineage: Bacteria; Pseudomonadati; Pseudomonadota. The record is from RNAcentral. RNAcentral also lists the same sequence under 2 other names.
GCCUCGGUAGCUCAGUGGAUAGAGCGAGUGCCUCCUAAGCGCUAGGUCGCCGGUUCGAUUCCGGCCCGGGGCACCA